ACCUGGCUGGCUCAGUACAUAGAGCAUGUGAUUUUUGAUCUUUGGGUUGUGAGUUCAAGCCUCAUGUUGGGCC
Molecule: transfer RNA, 73 nt
Filed under: Canis lupus familiaris (dog)
Lineage: Eukaryota; Metazoa; Chordata; Mammalia; Carnivora; Canidae
Also listed under: 1 other name
Rfam family: tRNA
About the family: Transfer RNA (tRNA) molecules are approximately 80 nucleotides in length. Their secondary structure includes four short double-helical elements and three loops (D, anti-codon, and T loops).
Source: Rfam by way of RNAcentral